GCAGCCUGAUCCAGCCAUGCCGCGUGCAGGAUGACGGUCCUAUGGAUUGUAAACUGCUUUUGUACGAGAAGAAACACUCCUAUGUAUAGGAGCUUGACGGUAUCGUAAGAAUAAGGAUCGGCUAACUCCGUGCCAGCAGCCGCGGUAAUACGGAGGAUCCAAGCGUUAUCCGGAAUCAUUGGGUUUAAAGGGUCCGUAGGCGGUUUAGUAAGUCAGUGGUGAAAGCCCAUCGCUCAACGGUGGAACGGCCAUUGAUACUGCUGAACUUGAAUUAUUAGGAAGUAACUAGAAUAUGUAGUGUAGCGGUGAAAUGCUUAGAGAUUACAUGGAAUACCAAUUGCGAAGGCAGGUUACUACUAAUUGAUUGACGCUGAUGGACGAAAGCGUGGGUAGCGAACAGGAUUAGAUACCCUGGUAGUCCACGCCGUAAACGAUGGAUACUAGCUGUUGGGAGCAAUUUCAGUGGCUAAGCGAAAGUGAUAAGUAUCCCACCUGGGGAGUACGUUCGCAAGAAUGAAACUCAAAGGAAUUGACGGGGGCCCGCACAAGCGGUGGAGCAUGUGGUUUAAUUCGAUGAUACGCGAGGAAACCUUACCAAGGCUUAAAUGUAGAUUGACCGUUUUGGAAACAGAACU
RNAcentral lists this ribosomal RNA (635 nucleotides) under Flavobacterium sp. Ri1Pw_5534. RNAcentral describes it as "bacterial SSU rRNA". It matches the Rfam family "Bacterial small subunit ribosomal RNA", at positions 378 to 1013 of the family's 1533-position model. Lineage: Bacteria; Pseudomonadati; Bacteroidota; Flavobacteriia; Flavobacteriales; Flavobacteriaceae. The record is from RNAcentral.